Molecule: ribosomal RNA, 438 nt
Filed under: uncultured bacterium
Lineage: Bacteria
Description: partial 16S ribosomal RNA
Rfam family: Bacterial small subunit ribosomal RNA
Source: RNAcentral
CUACGGGUUGCUCAGUGGGGAAUAUUGGGCAAUGGGCGAAAGCCUGACCCAGCAACGCCGCGUGAAGGAAGAAGGCUUUCGGGUCGUAAACUUCUAUCCCAGAUGAAGAUAAUGACGGUAAUCUGGAAGGAAGCCCCGGCUAACUACGUGCCAGCAGCCGCGGUAAUACGUAGGGGGCAAGCGUUGUCCGGAAUGAUUGGGCGUAAAGGGCGCGUAGGCGGCCUUUUAAGUCCGAUGUGAAAGUCCUGCUUUUAAGGUGGGAAUUGCAUUGGAAACUGGAAGGCUUGAGUGCAGGAGAGGUAAGUGGAAUUCCCGGUGUAGCGGUGAAAUGCGUAGAGAUCGGGAGGAACACCAGUGGCGAAGGCGACUUACUGGACUGUAACUGACGCUGAGGCGCGAAAGUGUGGGGAGCAAACAGGAUUAGAUACCCGGGUAGUC